RNAcentral lists this non-coding RNA (359 nucleotides) under Pan troglodytes (chimpanzee). The record is from RNAcentral. Lineage: Eukaryota; Metazoa; Chordata; Mammalia; Primates; Hominidae.
AAAAAUGUCUAAAGAACCAAAACAGAUUCAACGCAGUGACGGCAGAAAGUGUACGGGCAUGAAGAUUCAAAGAAAAAGAUGCGGCCGUUGAAAGAUUUAUAUGCUCCUUUGCUCCAGGAGAAAUCUCUUGAGACCUCACUCAGAGUGCACAUCCUUACCACAGUACAAGGCUAAUGAGCUUGGAUCGAUGGUGUUCUCAGCCCAGUGGACUGAAAACAAUAGAUUGAAGAUUUAUGGCAACCCUGUGACUAGCAACUCUAUUGAAACCAUUUCUCCAAUAGCAUGUGCUCACUUCAGGUCUUUGUAUCACAUUUUCAUAAUUCUCACAAUAUUUCAAAUUUAUUAUUAUUAUUAUUAUA